This 216-nucleotide unclassified non-coding RNA is filed under the name Ascomycota sp. Its description in RNAcentral is "partial contains small subunit ribosomal RNA, internal transcribed spacer 1, and 5.8S ribosomal RNA". The stretch from base 1 to 47 matches the Rfam family "Eukaryotic small subunit ribosomal RNA", at positions 1785 to 1831 of the family's 1831-position model. Lineage: Eukaryota; Fungi; Ascomycota. The record is from RNAcentral.
AAAGUCGUAACAAGGUCUCCGUUGGUGAACCAGCGGAGGGAUCAUUACAGAGUACUUAACUCAUAACCCUUUGUGAACCUUUAUAACCUGUUGCUUCGGCGGCGCGCCUCCGGGCGUGCCCGCCGGUCUCAUCAGAAUCUCUGUUCGAACCCGACGAUAUAUCUGAGUGUUCUAAGCGAACUGUUAAAACUUUCAACAACGGAUCUCUUGGCUCCA